This 453-nucleotide ribosomal RNA is filed under the name uncultured bacterium. Its description in RNAcentral is "bacterial SSU rRNA". It matches the Rfam family "Bacterial small subunit ribosomal RNA", at positions 28 to 523 of the family's 1533-position model. The record is from RNAcentral.
GAUGAACGCUGGCGGUAUGCUUUACACAUGCAAGUCGUACGAGAGUUUUUAACUCAAGUGGCGGACGGGUGAGUAACACGUAAGAAUUUGCCUUUAGGAGGGGGACAACAACUGGAAACGGUUGCUAAUACCCCAUAUGCUUUCGAGUGAAAUGGUUUUUCCGCCUAAAGAGAAGCUUGCGGCUGAUUAGCUUGUUGGUAAGGUAAUGGCUUACCAAGGCGACGAUCAGUAUCUGGUUUGAGAGGACGAUCAGACACACUGGAACUGAGACACGGUCCAGACUCCUACGGGAGGCAGCAGUGGGGAAUUUCCGCAAUGGCGAAAGCCUGACGGAGCAAUACCGCGUGAGGGAUGACUGCCUAUGGGUUGUAAACCUCUUUUUUCAGGGUAGGAAAAAAUUGACGUUACCUGAAGAAUAAGCAUCGGCUAACUCCGUGCCAGCCGCCGCGGUAA